CCUAGAAUCACAUAGGUUGAAUCAUGUUAGAAUUGACCCCACUUUCCCAACUAACCAGUUUCAUUUCAUUUUCAUUUUUAUCAGAAAAAAAAAAACAUUUAAUUCUCAUCACAGUUGCCAAAAAAUUAAUCCGUCAGAGACUUGAGACUUUGAAAUCAGAAAUGUGAUCUCCCUCUCUCUCUCUCUCUUCUUUUCAAGUUCUCUCCAUAAUCCCUGAGGACUUUGGGAGUAACGGCUCGAGCUCGUCCCAGUUCUAUUCUCUCCGUAAUCCCUGAUCGCUUUGGGAGGUGGAGGGGAAUGAAUCCACUCUGGAACGAGUAAUGGCUCAUGCUCAUCCCAGUUCAGAUUAAAUGAAAUGGAAGGAAAUGAAUAGGAUGAUAACAAGGUGCAUCGAGAAGAUAAAGUAGGUGUGAAUUUUCCGGCUUUGCAUUUUGUUUUCACACAAGAUGAUGCAAAUCUGGACCCUUUUAUUGUAAUGGAAUUCAAAUCAACGGAACAAGCAUAUUCAUUUUAUAAUUAAUAUGCCUGGUCUGUAGGAUUUGACACUAUGAAGAAAAAUACUCGUCGAUCUAGGUGGAGUGGAGAAUUUAUCGAUGCAAAUUUUGCUUGCACUGGAUAUGGAAGCAAGAAAAAGUCAAUUGGAGUCAGAAAGGAACGACCUUGUCAUAAGACAAAUUGCAUGGCUGGCAUGCAUGUGAAAAGAAAAGAAAAUGGGAAUGGGUUCUAGUUGGUUUCAUUGAAGAGCACAACCAUGAUCUUAUUCCAGCCUAAACACAAUACUUUCAGAAUCACAAGCAAAUAGAUCCAAUCACUAAAAACAACAUUGGUAUCUUGCAAGCCUCUGGGAUUCAGACAUAAUUUUUUUGCUGUGUUGUCUAAACAAUGCAUUAGUUACCAAAAUGUCAGUUGUCUUGAGAAGGACUUUAGGAUUCAACUUGAUAAAGAGAAAUGUUUGCCUAAAGACUCAGAGAAGAAAUACUAGUUUCUUUUAUGCCAUUGACUUGAAUGACAAACAAUGCUUGCGAAAUGUAUUUUGGGUUGAUGCAAAAGGAAGGCAUGAUCAAUAUCAAUUUUGGGGAUAUAGUGUGUUUUUAUACAACUCACAAACAAAUACAAGAAUCCCAUUUGCUCUUUUUAUAGGACUGAAUCAUCAAUUUUAGUCCACAUUGCUUGGUUGUGCUUUAAUUUCCGGUGAGUCUACACCGACAUUUUUUUGGCUAAUGCAAACCUGGCGUAGAGCAAUGAGUGGGAUAGCUCCUAAAGUAAUAAUUACUGACCAGGGAAAGGGCAUGAAAGCAGCUAUUGAGGUCUUUCCAAGUUUACUUCUCAUCGACACUGUUUGUGGCAUAUAUUAGGAAAGUUCCCUGAGAAGCUUGGUCUUGCAAACAAGAGGCACACAGAUUUUAUGACCAAAUUUAAUAAGUGUAUUUAUAGAUCAUGGAAAGAAGAAGAAUUUGAAAGUGAAUGAGAGAAACUGCUUUACACAUUUCAACUUAGAGAUGAUGAGUGACUUAAGCAAGGAUUAAA
Molecule: long non-coding RNA, 1527 nt
Organism: Macadamia integrifolia
Lineage: Eukaryota; Viridiplantae; Streptophyta; Magnoliopsida; Proteales; Proteaceae
Exons: 3
Source: RefSeq, a predicted model, not a curated record